ACUCCUACGGGAGGCAGCAGUGGGGAAUAUUGCACAAUGGGGGAAACCCUGAUGCAGCCAUGCCGCGUGUGUGAAGAAGGCCUUCGGGUUGUAAAGCACUUUCAGUAGGGAGGAAGGUAGUGUAGUUAACACCUGCACUAUUUGACGUUACCUACAGAAGAAGCACCGGCUAACUCCGUGCCAGCAGCCGCGGUAAUACGGAGGGUGCGAGCGUUAAUCGGAAUUACUGGGCGUAAAGCGCAUGCAGGCGGCCUGUUAAGUCAGAUGUGAAAGCCCGGGGCUUAACCUCGGAAUUGCAUUUGAAACUGGCAGGCUAGAGUCUUGUAGAGGGGGGUAGAAUUUCAGGUGUAGCGGUGAAAUGCGUAGAGAUCUGAAGGAAUACCAGUGGCGAAGGCGGCCCCCUGGACAAAGACUGACGCUCAGAUGCGAAAGCGUGGGGAGCAAAACAGGAUUAGAUACCCUGGUAAGGAUAGCG
This 475-nucleotide ribosomal RNA is filed under the name uncultured bacterium. Its description in RNAcentral is "bacterial SSU rRNA". It matches the Rfam family "Bacterial small subunit ribosomal RNA", at positions 335 to 799 of the family's 1533-position model. The record is from RNAcentral.